Molecule: ribosomal RNA, 301 nt
Filed under: uncultured bacterium
Lineage: Bacteria
Description: partial 16S ribosomal RNA
Rfam family: Bacterial small subunit ribosomal RNA
Source: RNAcentral
CAGCAGCCGCGGUAAAACGUAGGUGGCAAGCGUUGUCCGGAAUUAUUGGGCGUAAAGGGCUCGCAGGCGGUUUCUUAAGUCUGAUGUGAAAGCCCCCGGCUCAACCGGGGAGGGUCAUUGGAAACUGGGAAACUUGAGUGCAGAAGAGGAGAGUGGAAUUCCACGUGUAGCGGUGAAAUGCGUAGAGAUGUGGGGGAACACCAGUGGCGAAGGCGACUCUCUGGUCUGUAACUGACGCUGAGGAGCGAAAGCGUGGGGAGCGAACAGGAUUAGAUACCCCAGUAGUCCCUGUCUCUUAUAC